AAUAAGCGGAGGAAAAGAAACCAACAGGGAUUGCCCCAGUAACGGCGAGUGAAGCGGCAACAGCUCAAAUUUGAAAUCUGGCCCCUAGGGCCCGAGUUGUAAUUUGCAGAGGAUGCUUUUGGCGAGGUGCCUUCCGAGUUCCCUGGAACGGGACGCCAUAGAGGGUGAGAGCCCCGUCUGGUUGGAUGCCGAGCCUCUGUAAAGCUCCUUCGACGAGUCGAGUAGUUUGGGAAUGCUGCUCUAAAUGGGAGGUAUAUGUCUUCUAAAGCUAAAUACCGGCCAGAGACCGAUAGCGCACAAGUAGAGUGAUCGAAAGAUGAAAAGCACUUUGAAAAGAGGGUUAAAUAGUACGUGAAAUUGUUGAAAGGGAAGCACUUAUGACCAGACUUGGACCCGGUGAAUCAUCCAGCGUUCUCGCUGGUGCACUUUGCCGGGCUCAGGCCAGCAUCAGUUUGCCCCGGGGGAUAAAGGCUUUGGGAAUGUGGCUCCCUCGGGAGUGUUAUAGCCCAUUGCACAAUACCCUGGGGCGGACUGAGGUUCGCGCAUCUGCAAGGAUGCUGGCGUAAUGGUCAUCAGUGACCCGUCUUGAAACACGGACC
RNAcentral lists this ribosomal RNA (599 nucleotides) under Pochonia chlamydosporia var. ellipsospora. RNAcentral's name for it is "eukaryotic LSU rRNA". It matches the Rfam family "Eukaryotic large subunit ribosomal RNA", at positions 45 to 667 of the family's 3401-position model. The record is from RNAcentral. Lineage: Eukaryota; Fungi; Ascomycota; Sordariomycetes; Hypocreales; Clavicipitaceae.